GCUGGUAGUGGGUGUGGAGAGGGGGCGGCCCGGCUCAGCAGGUCCGGCCCCCAACCCCGGGGUGAGGAGGACUCCAGGGUCUCUGGCCUGUGCAGCGGUCACAGCUCCGUCACAGGUUCUUCCGCCCACCUAAAUUUUAGGCCAGCCGCCUCUCCCUUUCCCUCAGCUUUUGCCCGGAGGCUCCCAGCUACAAUUUGCACAGCCUUUCCAGGCCUACCCUCCCCCAGCUCACAAGCUUUUGGCUUGAGGGGAAAAGGUGGGGAGAGGCACAUACCAGGGUGGGGCCCCCCAGCAGGUAGCAACCGCUCUAAACCGGCCUUGAGUGAAUGAAGUGGCUGCCCUUGUACCAGCAAUAGCUUUGAGUGGACACUUCCAGUCUGCUUUCCUUCAAGGCGUACUCCUCUCUGGCCCCGUACCCACUCUCUACCCCCAUAUAGGAAGGACACAGCAAAGGCCCCUGCUUUAGGGCCAGAGGUCUAGUUUGGUUUCAGAAAACACCUCCAGGUUUUCCCUGGGAGUUAGGCCGGGAGAAUGAAUUUUACCAGCUUCCAAGAUUUCUGCUCACAGUUGAGUCCCCAGCCGGCAGGAGUCUGAAGGAAGGAAGCCAAAGUCCUUGCCUAUGACACCAGUGGAAAAAAUCUGUUUCUCCUGGGGUGUCCAAGGUACACAAUGCUCCUCCCAGGAACGACUGUGUCUGUCUGGGACUCCAGCAGCCUGCGCAAGGUCCCACAGGCCCUUUGUCUUUCAGGUUUUCUGAAACUGCCGUGGGAAGUUAUCUACCACCCUCAACACACACACACACUCAGGAUGACAAUGAACAGAGCCCGUUUACAUCUGCCACUUCAUUUAUUUUAUUUGCAGGAGGAGUUGAAACAAAUUUUAAGGGAGAUUUUCAUUUUCCCCCUAAACAUGAAUCAUUCAAGUAAAACCAACUUAACUAUAGAAAUGUAGCAAAGUAAGGGGAAAGCAGCACAACAACCCAAGAGGCAAAGGCUGGGGGGGAGAGGUGGGUGCAGUCCGCAUAUAACAUAUGCAUAAAUGCCUUAUGAUUCACCUGCUCAGGACCGCCUCCCCAGAAGGCAAGCACAAGGACCCAUUUUAAGAGGAUGUUUCCCCCCAAACAUCUGAGAAUGCUUCAACUUAAACAGCUUAAGGUUAAAAAGACAAAGAAAAAAAAAAAAGAAA
Molecule: long non-coding RNA, 1185 nt
Organism: Gorilla gorilla gorilla (western lowland gorilla)
Lineage: Eukaryota; Metazoa; Chordata; Mammalia; Primates; Hominidae
Exons: 2
Source: RefSeq, a predicted model, not a curated record